RNAcentral lists this unclassified non-coding RNA (380 nucleotides) under uncultured Gemmatimonadaceae bacterium. Its description in RNAcentral is "contains 16S-23S intergenic spacer region". Lineage: Bacteria; Pseudomonadati; Gemmatimonadota; Gemmatimonadia; Gemmatimonadales; Gemmatimonadaceae. The record is from RNAcentral.
UCCGAGUUGACCCCGGCAGUCUCCUACGAGUCCCCGGCAUAAUCCGCUGGCAACAUAGGACAAGGGUUGCGCUCGUUGCGGGACUUAACCCAACAUCUCACGACACGAGCUGACGACAGCCAUGUAGCACCUGUGCAUGGAUCCCGAAGGAGGCUUCUGGUUUCUCAGAAGUUUUCCAUGCAUGUCAAGCCUAGGUAAGGUUCUUCGCGUUGCGUCGAAUUAAACCACAUGCUCCACCGCUUGUGCGGGCCCCCGUCAAUUCCUUUGAGUUUCAGCCUUGCGGCCGUACUCCCCAGGCGGGGUACUUCCUGCGUUAGCGCCGGCACCCAGGGGGUCGCUCCCCCAGGCACCUAGUACCCAUCGUUUACGGCGUGGACUAC